CGCUCGCAUAAAUGGCCCUAGGCCAAAAAAAAUAUGUGGGUUUCCGGUUUCCCGACCCUACCUAGCUUUUGGACGUCGAAAUCCCGACCCUAAACUUUUUUAUUGGAUCAUGCUUGUAAGUGUUUCCACUUAGAGGAAAAGUUUGUGGAAAAUUGAAAUUUGAGGCAAUAUUAGGGAAAUUUAUCUUUGGAUGUGGAAGCACUGACUAAACAAAAUGGCGUCCGCUUGUUCGGAAAAUUAAAAAAAAAGUUAAAAAAAAAAAGUUAAAACCGACCUACCCUACCUAAGUUUUUAUAAGAAGAAACCGGAAACCCACAUAUUUUUUUUUGGC
This 331-nucleotide long non-coding RNA is filed under the name Paramuricea clavata. The record is from RNAcentral. Lineage: Eukaryota; Metazoa; Cnidaria; Anthozoa; Malacalcyonacea; Plexauridae.